Rhipicephalus microplus (southern cattle tick) is the source of this 183-nucleotide small nuclear RNA. RefSeq annotates it as U2 spliceosomal RNA. Lineage: Eukaryota; Metazoa; Arthropoda; Arachnida; Ixodida; Ixodidae. The record is from RefSeq and is a predicted model, not a curated record.
AUAACCUAUUAAGGUGUAUUGUGUAACAAGUAUAACAAAAAAUUCUGUUCUUAUCACAAUAAUAUCUGAUAAGGAUCCUAUUUGGAUCCAAGAUAUUGUAACGGAGCGGAGUGCUAGAAGCUUGUUUCACCUCCGCCACUGCUUGACUUGGCAUUGCACUACCUCCAGGUUCGGCACACUCAU